RNAcentral lists this ribosomal RNA (461 nucleotides) under uncultured bacterium. RNAcentral describes it as "SSU rRNA". It matches the Rfam family "Bacterial small subunit ribosomal RNA", at positions 26 to 518 of the family's 1533-position model. The record is from RNAcentral.
AGGACUAACGCUGGCGGCGUGCCUAACACAUGCAAGUCGAGCGGGGUAGCAAUACCCAGCGGCAGACGGGUGAGUAACGCGUGGUCAACCUUCCGUUGAAUGGGGGAUAACUAGCCGAAAGGUUAGCUAAUACCGCAUACGAUCUUUUGAAGGCAUCUUUAAAAGAUGAAAGGAGCAAUUCGUUCAACGACGGGACCGCGUCCCAUUAGCUAGAUGGUGGGGUAAUGGCCUACCAUGGCAACGAUGGGUAGCUGGUUUGAGAGAGCGACCAGCCACACUGGGACUGAGAAACGGCCCAGACUCCUACGGGAGGCAGCAGUGAUGAAUUUUCCGCAAUGGGCGAAAGCCUGACGGAGCGACGCCGCGUGUGGGAAGAAGGCCUUCGGGUCGUAACCACUGUCGAAGGGACGAUAAUGACGGUACCUUGGAGGAAGCCCGGCUAACUACGUGCCAGCAGCCGC